Molecule: transfer-messenger RNA, 359 nt
Filed under: Clostridiales bacterium
Lineage: Bacteria; Bacillati; Bacillota; Clostridia; Eubacteriales
Rfam family: transfer-messenger RNA
About the family: Bacterial tmRNA, also known as 10Sa RNA or SsrA, is named for its dual tRNA and mRNA-like properties. Its role is to liberate the mRNA from a stalled ribosome.
Source: RNAcentral
GGGGGUGUAAAGGUUUCGACGGGGGUAUAGAAGUAUCAUAAGCGAGCCGUAGUCGCCAAGUCUACGUUAAAAGUGGCCGUUUUAAAUAUAAACGCUAAAAAUAAUAAUAAUAAUUUCGCAUUAGCUGCGUAAGCAGCGCGCGUGUCACCUUCAGCUUACCUGUAGACUGAAGACCUGGCAUCGAUUAUACAGGAAAACCUUGCAGGAGUUCUCGGUACUGUAAGGGACCAACGAGAUAGCAAUUCCCUGAGCCUGCUGACGGGCGCCCGGAAAAGCGAAAUUCAAAACAUCAUAUGCGCUCGGAGAAAGUGAUGUGGAAAUAUUUUCGGACAGGAGUUCGACUCUCCUCAUCUCCACCA